CCCUCCAUCGCACCGGGUUUUCGCAGUCACGUUCCUCUGGGAGUGCGGGUGUAAAGGUACGUGUACAUCGAGCCGAGCAUUCGGAAACGGGAGAAGUACACGCGACGUGUCUGCCGGAGUCCGUUCCUCACUGAACUUGUAGCCAUCAUGAGUCGUAAUCAGAGCCGCAAGGGCGGCAGCAAGCGCAGCCGCGCAGACGAGUGGAUGACCGACGCACGCGACCCGGCAGCGUUGCAGAACACGGCUUUUGAAGCGUACUACAAGGGCAACGUCAUCCCUGCAUCGGAGUGGGAAGCGUUCAUGGCGUGCCUGCAGACGGGGCUGCCCAUGUCGAUCCGGUUCAACUGCGCAGUGCCACAGGUGGACGCCGUGGACGCGUUCGUCACGCAGCACCUCUCUGAAGUCUUCGAGAGCAAGCGAAUCCCGUUCUUCCCGGCGCAGCGAGCGAUUCAGUUUGGCGUCAGCCGCGGCGACUUGAAGCGCAAGAAGGCGAACCGGACGUUGAAGAGGAUUGUCUCCGCGAUGAACGAGGGCGGAUACCUGACUCGACAGGAGACCGUUAGCAUGCUGCCUCCUCUCCUGCUGCAGGUGGGGCCUGGGAUGCGGGUGCUGGACAUGUGCGCUGCGCCGGGAAGCAAGACAUCGCAGCUCCUCGAGCUCCUCCUGACCGGCGAGUCCGAGAGGGGAGUUGUGGUGGCGAACGACGCCAAAGCUUCUCGCUUGGACGUGCUGCACCAUCAAACGAACCGUGCCGCUGGCGCACAUCUCCACCUCAUCAUCACAAACACAGACGCCACGCGCUUUCCUUUGCUGCCACCCGCGGAGCGCUUCGAUCGCGUCUUGUGCGACGUGAUGUGCUCCGGUGAUGGAACGCUGCGCAAGUCCAUCGAUAUGUGGCCUCGCUGGGACUCUCUCCAGGGGGCCAACCUACACCACACCCAGAUGCGCGUGUUGCUGCGCGGCAUGGCGUCUUGCAAGUCGGGUGGAAUUGUGGUGUACUCAACCUGCAGCCUCAACCCCGUCGAGGACGAAGCAGUCGUGUCCGCCUGCCUGGCGCAGACGAAGGGCACCUUCGAGCUGAUAGACCCUACGCCGCUGCUACACGGGCUCUGCGCUUCGCCUGGCAUGACUUCAUGGACCGUCACCACACGCGACCUCACCACAGCGCUGCACAACUACGAGGACGCGAAGGCAUUCAUGGAGGCCCAGACGGAUCGCUGCACUUUUCAGUACGCACCGAGCAUGUUCGCGAACACCGAGCUGCUCGUGGAUCAGCACAUUGAGCGCACCCGCCGCAUCCUGCCCCACACGCAGGACACCGGCGGCUUCUUUGUGGCGGCGCUGCGUUGUGUCGCGGCAGUGCCGGAGGAUGCGCGUGCGAGGGCUGAGUCGGCCUCUGAUGCGAAGAGGACGGAGGCGCCCUUGAAACCCCUCUCUGCUGGUAUGCGGGCGACCCUGCAGAAGGCGCUCGCGCUGCCUGACACGUUCCCCUUUGACCACCUCAUCGUGCGCAACGAGGAGGCGCGUGACCAGAAGGUUUACCUGGCCAACUCGGACGCCAUUUCGCUCAGCCAGCAGCUGGGCUGUCGCGUCGUGCACGUCGGCUCGAAGGUGUUCGAGUCCGUGCUAAAGUACAGCAAUGAAAAGCUGCGCUUCUGCACAGACGGCGUGGCCGACCUCGUGCCCUUUCUGCCCUCCAAGUUCCUUGUCUCGGUGACGCCGUCCCUGCUGCUGGAGCUGGCUGCGGAGACGCCGAUGCCGUACGCCGAUUUUAGCGCCAAGACCGGACAGCUCAUCGAGGAGCUGCCACCGAGCUUUGUCCUCACCACCUCCUGGGCGGUCGGGGGGCCUAUCUACGUAGCUGCAGAGAAGUCGACGAUGCUGGGCAAGCUUGUUGCGCACGUAGCAGGCUGGCAAGUGACAGUGUGCAAGCUGGCUUUGGACCUACCACUGGUGGAGUCGGUGGAGGAGAGGCAGGAGGACGCUGCAGAGGAGGGCGACGCGACCAGAGAGAACGCCUCCGCGCUGGCAGCAGAUGCGGCGACGCACUAAAAAGACGGUUAAUGCAGCAGUGGCACAGCGCAUCUUCAACUGCCUCUCCUUUUCUCUCCGUUUCCUUUCUCCUGUGCUCGCAUACGGAUGUGCGCGGCUGCACACUUCUGUGCUGCUGGUCGCAGGGGGCAAAAGUGAGAGGAGAAGCGGAGGUGAAGUAAAGGCCGUGCUUUUCUGCACACGCAGAGCGGUUGCGUACAGUGGCGGAAGCGCAGAAGGGAGAGUAGUGGGCAUGUGCAGCGGCCACACGAAGACGGAAGAGGACGGUGACGGGCCUCGUGCAGAAUGCCGCCACCCCAAUGAGACGAAGCUCAGAAAAGACUUGCCUUGAAGCGCUCACGUAAUAGGUGGAAGGAGGGAUGGAGUGCGUGUACGCAAGUGUUCUAGGUGCACGUGGAGAGAUGGCAGCCAUGCGACGGCGUAGAGGGAGGAGGGAGGUGAAGAUUCCAACCGCAGAAGAUCCCUGAUGGUGCGACGAGGAUAUCCGAGAGGAGGAGGCGCCGAUGCGAACACAGACGAACAUCAAAGUCUUCUCGGUAGUUCAUGCAUCUGCCGUGAACCCUCGCCAAGGUUGUGGACUGCGAUGGACGAGUCUAGUGUGUUCCAGCCUGCGCUUUCCCGACCCUCACCCCUCUGCACCCAUCGCCCGAUCACGACAUGCUGUGCAGGUUGUCUUUUUUCUUCGUGCCCCCUCCGUGUUUGUCUCGCUGCGCACGAGAACACACUCACUCAACAGUUUCAGGGGUGCCUCCGCGCUAGGGUCUCGCCAUAGUCUGUCCCCCCCCCCUCCCUUGCCCUUCGCUCUCUUUUUCUGGCGGGUGUGUUUGUGUUUCCUGGGAGGAGGGUUGAAGCUACCAGAGUGCGCGUGUAGGCUUUGGCCACUUUCUCCUCCUCAUGGGCAGCGGUGAGGUGUACGGGUAAGAAUCCGGCAAGCGCGCGAAGGCGCUCGCUCGCUUCAACGACACGAUAAGCGAAAAGGAAAUUAGAAAGAGAAAAUGCACCAUUCCUAAGACUUAACACGUGCCACGGUCGCAUAUGGAGAACAAGCGUACGGACUCGGGCGAAGACCGCAUUGAGCGAACAAGGGCAACGGAAGUGGCGCGUGCAUGGGUGGUGAAGGGUGACCGGUCAUACUGGGGCGCGCAUGUUCGGUGUCCUAUCCUCUCCGCUCUCGGAGCAUGGGUGCAUAGGUGACAGGAGACGGGCAAGACACCGGCGUGCACUGCAGGCGUACCGCAACACUCCCUGCGCAUCCACUUUGUUGUCGAGAGAGAAAACAAGGCGAAUGCCGCUGCUGCCCUUACGUUCGCGCACGCACACGCGGGGAUGAGGUUUUCGUGCGUGUGCUUGGGCGGGGGAGGAGGGAGGCCUGCUGCCCUCUCUCUUUUUUUCGUCACC
RNAcentral lists this unclassified non-coding RNA (3450 nucleotides) under Leishmania donovani. Its description in RNAcentral is "gene:LdHU3.29.3920(CDS-product:NOL1/NOP2/sun_fami ly/FtsJ-like_methyltransferase_putative)". The record is from RNAcentral. Lineage: Eukaryota; Euglenozoa; Kinetoplastea; Trypanosomatida; Trypanosomatidae.